This 322-nucleotide ribosomal RNA is filed under the name uncultured eukaryote. RNAcentral's name for it is "partial 18S ribosomal RNA". It matches the Rfam family "Eukaryotic small subunit ribosomal RNA", at positions 1470 to 1796 of the family's 1831-position model. The record is from RNAcentral.
CCCUUAGAUGUUCUGGGCCGCACGCGUGCUACACUGAGUAAAUCAAUGGGUAAGGGAACACGAAAGUGCAACCUAAUCUUGAAAUUUGCUCGUGAUGGGGAUCGACGGUUGCAAUUUUCCGUCGUGAAUGAGGAAUACCUUGUAGGCGCGUGUCAUCAUCACGCGCCGAAUACGUCCCUGCCCUUUGUACACACCGCCCGUCGCUCCUACCGAUUGAGUGAUCCGGUGAGGCUCUGGGACCUGGACGGAAAGAGCGUUUCGCUUGUUCUGUUUGGGAAACUUGGUCGAACCUUAUCAUUUAGAGGAAGGAGAAGUCGUAACA